This is a long non-coding RNA of Ananas comosus (pineapple), 359 nucleotides long. RefSeq lists it as uncharacterized. The transcript has 4 exons. The record is from RefSeq and is a predicted model, not a curated record. NCBI's taxonomy places the organism in Eukaryota, Viridiplantae, Streptophyta, Magnoliopsida, Poales, Bromeliaceae.
GUCUACGCUAGCUAUUGUCAGCAUGGUCGUCAUGAGUUACUUGAACAUGUUGGACUCAACGCUGAUGCGGUAGCUCGAAGCGGAGACUCAUUGGCACUUUCAGAGUUGCACCUAAAAUUUUAUGCACCUUUGAGAAGUGGUGAUAGGUUCGUUGUGAAGGUGAGGGUUGCUGGCAUCUCAGGGCUUAUUUUGGAAGCUACAGGCACAGUGGUUUGCCUCAACAAGAGUUAUUGGCCCACUCGCAUACCAUCAGAGUUUUCAUCGAAACUACUGCAGUUUUCCUCAUCUAAGGGUUCAUAGUGAUAUUUUUCUGUUUCCAAUUAAAUUGAGAAAGCCUGUAAAAUUUUUGGAAUUUCUAU